UACGAAGGGUGCAAACGUUGCUCGGAAUUAUUGGGCGUAAAGAGCUCGUAGGCGGUGUGUCACGUCGGCCGUGAAAACCUGCAGCUUAACUGUGGGCGUGCGGUCGAUACGGGCAUCACUGGAGUUCGGCAGGGGAGACUGGAAUUCCUGGUGUAGCGGUGAAAUGCGCAGAUAUCAGGAGGAACACCGGUGGCGAAGGCGGGUCUCUGGGCCGGAACUGACGCUGAGGAGCGAAAGCGUGGGGGAGCGAACAGGA
This 256-nucleotide ribosomal RNA is filed under the name uncultured bacterium. RNAcentral's name for it is "partial 16S ribosomal RNA". It matches the Rfam family "Bacterial small subunit ribosomal RNA", at positions 524 to 777 of the family's 1533-position model. The record is from RNAcentral.